UACGAGGGGUGCAAGCGUUGUUCGGAAUCACUGGGCGUAAAGGGAGCGCAGGCGGAGGUGCAAGCAAUCUGUACAAUCCCGGGGCCCAACCCCGGUCCUGCAGAUUGGACUGCAUUUCUUGGAUAGUUCAGGGGCAAGCGGAAUUCCUGGUGUAGCGGUGGAAUGCGUAGAGAUCAGGAAGAACACCGAUGGCGAAGGCAGCUUGCUGGGGACUUAUCGACGCUCAGGCUCGAAAGCGCGGGUAG
Molecule: ribosomal RNA, 245 nt
Filed under: uncultured Fibrobacter sp.
Lineage: Bacteria; Pseudomonadati; Fibrobacterota; Fibrobacteria; Fibrobacterales; Fibrobacteraceae
Description: partial 16S ribosomal RNA
Rfam family: Bacterial small subunit ribosomal RNA
Source: RNAcentral